GAUGAACGCUGGCGGCGUGCCUAAUACAUGCAAGUCGAGCGAACGGACGAGAAGCUUGCUUUUCUGAUGUUAGCGGCGGACGGGUGAGUAACACGUGGAUAACCUACCUAUAAGACUGGGAUAACUUCGGGAACCGGAGCUAAUACCGGAUAAUAUUUUGAACCGCAUGGUUCAAAAGUGAAAGACGGUCUUGCUGUCACUUAUAGAUGGAUCCGCGCUGCAUUAGCUAGUUGGUAAGGUAACGGCUUACCAAGGCAACGAUGCAUAGCCGACCUGAGAGGGUGAUCGGCCACACUGGAACUGAGACACGGUCCAGACUCCUACGGGAGGCAGCAGUAGGGAAUCUUCCGCAAUGGGCGAAAGCCUGACGGAGCAACGCCGCGUGAGUGAUGAAGGUCUUCGGAUCGUAAAACUCUGUUAUUAGGGAAGAACAUAUGUGUAAGUAACUGUGCACAUCUUGACGGUACCUAAUCAGAAAGCCACGGCUAACUACGUG
RNAcentral lists this ribosomal RNA (496 nucleotides) under uncultured bacterium. RNAcentral describes it as "partial 16S ribosomal RNA". It matches the Rfam family "Bacterial small subunit ribosomal RNA", at positions 28 to 507 of the family's 1533-position model. The record is from RNAcentral.